CAAAAGUCUCCAGAACACAGGGAAGCCCAGGCUCCCCACCCAUCCUCAUUAACUGCUGGACUUUAAGCCAAUCAAAAGCCUCCAGAGGACAGGAAAGCUCAAACCCCCAACAACCCUCCCCUAGAGAUUACACCAAGAGAUCUUCUGUUAAAGCUCCAAGAGGGGAGACCAAUAGAAGUCCCCAAAAAACAAAAAAAAAAUGAGAGGAACAAGAGCACAGACAAAUAUGGGGAAUAAAGAAGGGGUGAAUUUGAGCAAACAACAGAAAAAGAAGAAAGAAACUAUGAUAGACAGCUACUACUCAGCAAAUGGAACAGAGGGGGAGAGAUCAGCAAACAAUAAACCAGAAAUCCAAGCAAAUUGGAUUCAGGCUGUAGAAGAACUUAAAACACAACUAAGAGAGGCUGAAGACAAUUGGGAAAAGAACUUAAAAAUUAAGAUAGGUCAUCUGGAAACAGAGGCACUUGAACUAAAACAAGAAAAUAAUGUCCUGAAAGCCAAAAUCAUCCAGCUGGAAAAUGAGGCAAAGGAGAUGAAAGAUGAGGCAAAGGAGAUGAAAGACGAGGUAAAGAGGAUGAAAGACGAUCUUCAAAGACAAUCAGACCAGAAGGAAAAAGACGACCAAAAAGCCAGAGAUGAAAUCCAAUCUUUAAGAACCAGAGUAAAACAACUAGAAUCAAGUGACCUCACAAGGCAGCAGGACACUAUAAAACAAAACCAAAAGAAUGAAAAAAUUGAGGAAAAUGUGAAGCAUCUCAUUCACAAAACAGACGAUUUAGAAAAUCGUUCAAGAAGAGACAAUUUAAGAAUAAUUGGACUACCAGAAGACCAUGACAAAAGAAAAAGCCUGGACAUAAUACUAGAGGAAAUUAUCCAGGAAAACUGUCCCGAGAUCCUAGAACAAGAGGGGAAAGUGGAGAUUGAAAGAAUCCACAGAUCACCCCCUGUAUUUAAUCCCUAACUGACAACACCAAGAAAUGUUAUAGCCAAAUUCAAAAACAAUCAGAUGAAAGAACAGAUAUUACAAGCUGCCAAGAAGAAGCCAUUCAGAUACUAUGGAAACACAGUGAGG
Molecule: long non-coding RNA, 1072 nt
Filed under: Monodelphis domestica (gray short-tailed opossum)
Lineage: Eukaryota; Metazoa; Chordata; Mammalia; Didelphimorphia; Didelphidae
Description: lncRNA (ENSMODG00000038792.1)
Source: RNAcentral